AUGGUCUCUGCGGGGAGGAGCGAGGGGACCGCAGGCGGUGGGCGCAGGGCCCGGGGAGCCGCGCGGGGAGGAGGGUCGGGCGGGUCUCAGCCUCUCCUCGCCCCCAGGCUCGCACUCCUUGAGGUAUUUCAGCACCUCCGUGUCCCGGCCCGGCCGCGGGGAGCCCCGCUUCAUCUCCGUGGGCUACGUGGACGACACGCAGUUCGUGCGGUUCGACAGCGACGCCGAGAGUCCGAGAGAGGAGCCGCGGGCGCCGUGGGUGGAACAGGAGGGGCCGGAGUAUUGGGACCGGAACACACGGAUCGCCAAGGCCAACGCACAGACUCACCGAGUGAACCUGCGGAACCUGCGCGGCUACUACAACCAGAGCGAGGCCGGUGAGUGA
This is an RNA transcript of Piliocolobus tephrosceles (Ugandan red Colobus), 385 nucleotides long. It is a transcript of the gene named HLA class I histocompatibility antigen, B alpha chain pseudogene, with no coding region annotated. Lineage: Eukaryota; Metazoa; Chordata; Mammalia; Primates; Cercopithecidae. The transcript has a single exon. The record is from RefSeq and is a predicted model, not a curated record.